RNAcentral lists this ribosomal RNA (253 nucleotides) under uncultured bacterium. Its description in RNAcentral is "partial 16S ribosomal RNA". It matches the Rfam family "Bacterial small subunit ribosomal RNA", at positions 524 to 776 of the family's 1533-position model. The record is from RNAcentral.
UACAGGGGGUGCAAACGUUGCUCGGAAUCAUUGGGCGUAAAGCGCACGUAGGCGGUUCGUUAUGUCGGAUGUGAAAGCCCUUGGCUUAACCGAGGAAGUGCAUCCGAAACUGGCGAGCUAGAGUACUAAAGAGGAUCGCGGAAUUCCCGGUGUAGAGGUGAAAUUCGUAGAUAUCGGGAGGAACACCGGUGGCGAAGGCGGCGAGCUGGGUAGAUACUGACGCUGAGGUGCGAAAGCGUGGGGAGCAAACAGG